Molecule: transfer RNA, 72 nt
Filed under: Astyanax mexicanus (Mexican tetra)
Lineage: Eukaryota; Metazoa; Chordata; Actinopteri; Characiformes; Acestrorhamphidae
Rfam family: tRNA
About the family: Transfer RNA (tRNA) molecules are approximately 80 nucleotides in length. Their secondary structure includes four short double-helical elements and three loops (D, anti-codon, and T loops).
Source: Rfam by way of RNAcentral
GGCAUGGUGGCGCAGUGGGUGGCGCUGUUGCCUCACAGCAAGAAGGCCUGGGUUCAAUUCCCAGCUGGGUUU